RNAcentral lists this ribosomal RNA (472 nucleotides) under uncultured bacterium. RNAcentral describes it as "bacterial SSU rRNA". It matches the Rfam family "Bacterial small subunit ribosomal RNA", at positions 27 to 518 of the family's 1533-position model. The record is from RNAcentral.
GGACGAACGCUGGCGGCGUGCUUCAUACAUGCAAGUCGAACGAUAAGGCGCCUUCGGACGUACAUAAGUGGCGGACGGGUGAGUAAAAUGUAGAGAAUCUGCCCUAGAGAGGGGGACAACCGUUGGAAACGACAGCUAAUACCCCAUAUGAGCGUAGCUGAAAUGCUAUUCUUGAAAACUCCGGUGCUCUGGGAUGAGUCUGCAUCUGAUUAGCUAGUUGGGGGUGUAAUGGACCACCAAGGCGAUGAUCAGUAGCUGGUUUGAGAGGAUGAUCAGCCACAAUGGGACUGAGACACGGCCCAUACUCCUACGGGAGGCAGCAGUAGGGAAUUUUGCGCAAUGGGGGAAACCCUGAACCGCAGCAACGCCGCGUGACCGAUGAAGCCCUUCGGGGUGUAAAGGUCUGUCAGUGGGGACGAACAAUGACGGUACCCACAGAGGAAGCACCGGCUAACUCCGUGCCAGCAGCCGC